This is a non-coding RNA of Pelobates cultripes (western spadefoot toad), 219 nucleotides long. The record is from the annotation of a GenBank genome assembly. Lineage: Eukaryota; Metazoa; Chordata; Amphibia; Anura; Pelobatidae.
GUUUACGAGAUGGUGAUGGGCAUAUAGUUCACCUCUCUGGAUCUAAAAGGGUUAAAGCAAGUCUGGAAUCAUUCACCGAUAUGUGAAAAACACAGCAAGCAAUGGACUGAUUUAGACUCACAGUCAUAAAUUCCAGACAUGGAAAAAGGAGCAAUGGGGACUUUCCACGGCGCAGUAUUCAGUUCAUAUGUUGACCAUCAUGCACAGGCUGCAAGUAGG